Balaenoptera acutorostrata (minke whale) is the source of this 799-nucleotide long non-coding RNA. RefSeq lists it as uncharacterized. The transcript is spliced from 3 exons. The record is from RefSeq and is a predicted model, not a curated record. NCBI's taxonomy places the organism in Eukaryota, Metazoa, Chordata, Mammalia, Artiodactyla, Balaenopteridae.
AUUGAUUAACUUUUCAUCGACAGCAGUAAGCUUCAGACAGUUGUUCUCAGGACCUUCCGCAAGAGGACACGGUCCCAGAGACGAGAUGGUUCUGUGCUCGAGGGGACACGGAGAGGACACGUGGAGCGGCCAGGCCUCUGCUUUCUGUUUCAUAUAGUAGAUAUGAUCUGGUGAUAAGUGCUUGGAGAAAACCACAGCAGUCUUGCGGCUUGCUUUGACCAGUAGGAUGUGGCAGAUGUGAUGCUGUGCCUGGUCCAAGCUUCAGCCUCAAGAAGACACACAGCUUCCGCGCUUGAACCAGCCUCGUGGAGGGUGAGAGACAUGGGCCCAGUGUUGCUGGGCCCCAGAGCACAGCUGCCCAAGUAGCCGGGAACUGACCACAGACUCGCGGGUGAGAAUCUGAGGAGACCAGCCCCAGCACUGACCACUGAAUCGUGGGAUAAAUAUGACUGCUGUUUCCAGCCUUGCAGUGGCAGGGUGGUUUCUCGUGCAGCAAAAGCUAACUGAUACAGACAGCUUUAAGAAGUGAAAUCUCUGAGUCAAUGUUUCAGUGCAGGUUAGACUACAGGACUCAGGCAGAGAAGGAAGGGCUAGACUAUAGGAGGCUGUAGUAAAGCUAUACGUUUUUGGAGCAUCCAAAAUAUCAACCACUAGGGAAAAAGUCAAGUCAAUAUUCUCAAUGCUGCCCAUCCCAAUAUCUUCAUUUUAUAUUACAAAUAUUUUUAUAUCAUCCUUUUUAUAUCCUCUAAUGAUUUGCAGGUCACAUUACCCACCUAUACACAUAAUCUAAAUAAAUUAA